AGAGUUUGAUCCUGGCUCAGAUUGAACGCUGGCGGCAGGCCUAACACAUGCAAGUCGAGCGGUAACAGAAAGUAGCUUGCUACUUUGCUGACGAGCGGCGGACGGGUGAGUAAUGCUUGGGAACAUGCCUUGAGGUGGGGGACAACAGUUGGAAACGACUGCUAAUACCGCAUAAUGUCUACGGACCAAAGGGGGCUUCGGCUCUCGCCUUUAGAUUGGCCCAAGUGGGAUUAGCUAGUUGGUGAGGUAAUGGCUCACCAAGGCAACGAUCCCUAGCUGGUUUGAGAGGAUGAUCAGCCACACUGGAACUGAGACACGGUCCAGACUCCUACGGGAGGCAGCAGUGGGGAAUAUUGCACAAUGGGCGAAAGCCUGAUGCAGCCAUGCCGCGUGUGUGAAGAAGGCCUUCGGGUUGUAAAGCACUUUCAGUCAGGAGGAAAGGGUGUGAGUUAAUACCUCAUAUCUGUGACGUUACUGACAGAAGAAGCACCGGCUAACUCCGUGCCAGCAGCCGCGGUAAU
This 521-nucleotide ribosomal RNA is filed under the name uncultured bacterium. Its description in RNAcentral is "bacterial SSU rRNA". It matches the Rfam family "Bacterial small subunit ribosomal RNA", at positions 8 to 524 of the family's 1533-position model. The record is from RNAcentral.